UACGGAGGGUGCGAGCGUUGUCCGGAAUCAUUGGGCGUAAAGGGCGCGUAGGUGGCCCGGUCAGUCUUUGGUGAAAGCGCGGGGCUCAACCCUGCGUCGGCCAGGGAUACUGCCGCGGCUCGAGCACUGUAGAGGCAGGCGGAAUUCCGGGUGUAGCGGUGGAAUGCGCAGAUAUCAGGAAGAACACCCGUGGCGAAGGCGGUUCUCUGGGACGGUACUGACGCUGAGACGCGAAAGCGUGGGGAGCGAACAGG
RNAcentral lists this ribosomal RNA (254 nucleotides) under uncultured bacterium. RNAcentral's name for it is "partial 16S ribosomal RNA". It matches the Rfam family "Bacterial small subunit ribosomal RNA", at positions 524 to 776 of the family's 1533-position model. The record is from RNAcentral.